This is a long non-coding RNA of Saccostrea cuccullata (small rock oyster), 731 nucleotides long. RefSeq lists it as uncharacterized. The transcript has 4 exons. Lineage: Eukaryota; Metazoa; Mollusca; Bivalvia; Ostreida; Ostreidae. The record is from RefSeq and is a predicted model, not a curated record.
UCAAUGAUGACGGUCAAAGUGCAUGUGGAAUAUUGUGGUGGGUGAGGUUACGGACCUCGCUUCCAGGAACUUCGUCAACAGAUUCUGGCUGAGGUUCCGGAGGCUGAGGUCACGGGGACUGUAGGAAGAAGAACUUCCUUUGAAGUCACUGUUGGGGAUACACUUGUGUUUUCUAAACUGAAGCUGAAUGCAUUCCCAGUUGCAAGUGAUGUUAUUGCCUGCAUCAGGGAGGUACAAAAGGGACAGAACCCCUCCAUCAUAGAGUCGGGCGAGUCAGCUGGUUGUACCAUUCUGUAGAGUUAUUCUGUUAUGAAAACAUCAGCAUUGACAUUUACUUGAAAGUUCCCAUGUUGUUACAUAUUUAAUAGCAGCAUUGAUGAAGGUUGAGGGAAAAAGGUCAGAGGUCAUCCCUCUCUCUGGAAGGUUUUGCUGUUCAAAUUUGUAUCAACAUGUUAGCUUUCUGAAAUGCAUAGAUAUUCAAGGUGUGUCUUUUUUUUUUUGAACAUUUUUAUUUUAUUGUAUGUGUUGUGAUAUAUCAUUAUGUAAACAGAGAACUUGAAAUACGUGUAAAUUACAUUCAUAUUCCAUGUAAUGAGUUGUUCCUUGUAAUGUCCUGAAUGUUAUUAUGUGUAGUUUCUCUUGUAAAGUUCAACUUUAAGCCUACAGUUAAGAUAAUGUGACACCAAAGAUACUACACAAAUUUUAUGUAUACAUGUACAAAUGUUUUUUUU